Molecule: ribosomal RNA, 366 nt
Filed under: Triticum aestivum (bread wheat)
Lineage: Eukaryota; Viridiplantae; Streptophyta; Magnoliopsida; Poales; Poaceae
Description: partial small subunit ribosomal RNA
Source: RNAcentral
AUGUUAGAGGGUUGCGCCAGGCUGGAGUACGUCGACCUCAGCUCGAACAACUUCGACGGCGAGCUCUUGCCCGACGUCGCAAGAUUCAGGAAAUUCAGCAUCGCUGAGAACAACAUCACCGGGAGCGUUCCAUGGAGCAUGUUUCCUAAUGGAUGCAAGCUCCAGUCCUUAGACCUCUCUGCCAACCAGCUGGUGGGGAGCUUCCCGGAUUCCAUUGCGAAAUGCACGAAUUUGACGUACUUGUCGCUGUGGGGGAAUAAUUUCGCUGGAAUGGUACCUGCCGGAAUUGGGAAGCUCGCGUCGCGUCCCUUGAGGCGUUGGUUCUUGGGAAGAACAGGUUCGACAGGCAGAUACCGCAUGAGCUAA